UACGUAGGGUGCAAGCGUUAUCCGGAAUUAUUGGGCGUAAAGAGCUCGUAGGCGGUUUGUCGCGUCUGCUGUGAAAACUGGAGGCUCAACCUCCAGCCUGCAGUGGGUACGGGCAGACUAGAGUGCGGUAGGGGAGAUUGGAAUUCCUGGUGUAGCGGUGGAAUGCGCAGAUAUCAGGAGGAACACCAAUGGCGAAGGCAGCACUCUGGGACGUGACUGACGCUGAGACGCGAAAGCGUGGGGAGCAAACAGG
This 253-nucleotide ribosomal RNA is filed under the name uncultured bacterium. Its description in RNAcentral is "partial 16S ribosomal RNA". It matches the Rfam family "Bacterial small subunit ribosomal RNA", at positions 524 to 776 of the family's 1533-position model. The record is from RNAcentral.